AUGGGGUUCAGAGCAACAGGAAUAAGUAUUGUGUCCGAUGCCAGAAUUAAUGAUCUCAUCGGAAAGGUGGCUCAUGAAUUACUUACGAGUCCACGCGGGAGGAAUAACUUUGGAACUGGGGUGUGCAGGAGAGUCAGGUUUCGAUCCUGUGGAGCUGUGGGUUAUGGGCCCACCAUGUGGAUUAAAAGUAGGAAGGACAGUGACAUCUUGCACGAUCAUGUAAGCAAGGCAUGCCAGAGGAUAAUCUGUUGGUUAUGUCGGCAACAACAUCGGUACCAAGGGCGAGGGACGAAGAGAACCAUUUCCUGCUCGUUGAACGAGGCGGACCAGUAG
Molecule: ribosomal RNA, 333 nt
Filed under: Triticum aestivum (bread wheat)
Lineage: Eukaryota; Viridiplantae; Streptophyta; Magnoliopsida; Poales; Poaceae
Description: partial small subunit ribosomal RNA
Source: RNAcentral